UACGUAGGAUGCAAGCGUUGUCCGGAAUUACUGGGCGUAAAGGGCUCGUAGGUGGCCAACUAAGUCAGACGUGAAAUCCCUCGGCUUAACCGGGGAACUGCGUCUGAUACUGGAUGGCUUGAGUUUGGGAGAGGGACGCGGAAUUCCAGGUGUAGCGGUGAAAUGCGUAGAUAUCUGGAGGAACACCGGUGGCGAAGGCGGCGUCCUGGACCAACACUGACACUGAUGAGCGAAAGCCAGGGGAGCAAACGGG
This 253-nucleotide ribosomal RNA is filed under the name uncultured bacterium. Its description in RNAcentral is "partial 16S ribosomal RNA". It matches the Rfam family "Bacterial small subunit ribosomal RNA", at positions 524 to 776 of the family's 1533-position model. The record is from RNAcentral.